AUACCGAUGAUACCGAAGACCAAUAUUUGGGAUAUUUUUACUAUUUUAUUGGAUCAAACUUCAUCGAAAAGUAACGAAUCUCGGGUGCCAUUGCUCUUUUAUUACCGUAGAGUUUAUGUCAAUCACAGGGUUCUACAUACUUGGUAUAAUAAUA
This 154-nucleotide small RNA is filed under the name Cryptosporidium parvum. The record is from RNAcentral. Lineage: Eukaryota; Apicomplexa; Conoidasida; Eucoccidiorida; Cryptosporidiidae.